GACGAACGCUGGCGGCGUGCUUAACACAUGCAAGUCGAACGAAGAGCGAUGGAAGCUUGCUUCUAUCAAUCUUAGUGGCGAACGGGUGAGUAACGCGUAAUCAACCUGCCCUUCAGAGGGGGACAACAGUUGGAAACGACCGCUAAUACCGCAUACGAUCUAACCUCGGCAUCGAGGAUAGAUGAAAGGUGGCCUCUACAUGUAAGCUAUCACUGAAGGAGGGGAUUGCGUCUGAUUAGCUAGUUGGAGGGGUAACGGCCCACCAAGGCGAUGAUCAGUAGCCGGUCUGAGAGGAUGAACGGCCACAUUGGGACUGAGACACGGCCCAGACUCCUACGGGAGGCAGCAGUGGGGAAUCUUCCGCAAUGGACGAAAGUCUGACGGAGCAACGCCGCGUGAGUGAUGACGGCCUUCGGGUUGUAAAGCUCUGUUAAUCGGGACGAAAGGCCUUCUUGCGAAUAGUUAGAAGGAUUGUCGGUACCGGAAUAGAAAGCCACGGCUAACUACGUG
RNAcentral lists this ribosomal RNA (510 nucleotides) under uncultured bacterium. RNAcentral describes it as "partial 16S ribosomal RNA". It matches the Rfam family "Bacterial small subunit ribosomal RNA", at positions 28 to 507 of the family's 1533-position model. The record is from RNAcentral.